UUGGAUGUGCUAGUUGAGAUGGG
This 23-nucleotide non-coding RNA is filed under the name Cricetulus griseus (Chinese hamster). Lineage: Eukaryota; Metazoa; Chordata; Mammalia; Rodentia; Cricetidae. The record is from RNAcentral.